This is a long non-coding RNA of Triticum aestivum (bread wheat), 3733 nucleotides long. RefSeq lists it as uncharacterized. The transcript is spliced from 9 exons. NCBI's taxonomy places the organism in Eukaryota, Viridiplantae, Streptophyta, Magnoliopsida, Poales, Poaceae. The record is from RefSeq and is a predicted model, not a curated record.
AGGGCGGGAUGGGGUGGAUUGCAGCGAGAUUAGAUUGGCUCUCUCCGAUGAAAAUAUCUCCCCCCUCUCUCCCUGGUCCACUUCUCCGUGCUGCUGCCGCCGACGCCUCCGCUUCCCCCGUUCCUCGCGGCCGCCUCGUCCCCUCCGCCUUCAGCAGCUCCUCCUCCCCCAUCCUCUCCGCCUCCAGCACCUCCUCCUCCCCUUCCUCUCCUCCUCCCCUGCCCCCGAAGCCAGACCACGUGACGUCGAUAAGGAGAGGCAGGCGGUUCUCCUUCCAUGGCGGCACCCCGACCUUCCGGAUCUUUCUCUUCGUCAGUCCGGCGGAGAGGAGUGGUAGAUUCGUCUCCUCUUGGGCAUCAUCGGCCAGAGAAGUUAUUUUUUUCAUCUAGGCCGACGGAUGGGGUAGGCGAAGAGGAGUGGCGGAUCCGCCUCGAUUGCGCUCUCCUUCGUUAUGCCCGCGUUGCUUCCAUUCUUGCGCUAGUGCUGCUGCUAUGGAGGGCUUGGUUUAAGGCAGAACUGAAAUCUCCCACGCGGUGGCAGCCAUGAGUAACGGCACGAUCUGGAGGGGAGUAGCAAUGGCGGCCUCUUCUUCUUCGCGCUUGGUGGCCUUGCGCAGCUCCGCCUCUUUUCCCGCCUCCAUCCCACGCGUGCAGCAUCCACACGCGUGCAGCAUCCACAUGAAGGCAAGCGAGCACACAUGAAAUAGACAUAUCAAGUGGAUUUUCUCUCACCUCAACGCUUACUGAAUUCAGUACCCGAAGAAGCCUAUUAUGCCACUCAUUUUGUACCACCAGUGUAAACAUUGAGAACUAUAUGAAUUGAUGCACCUUGUGGUCGGAAAAGAGGCUCUUGAUUGUGUGGAUAUUUUGCAGCUUUAGAAUUAUUUUAUUCUCGCCUUAUGGCAUCAAGGAGCACAACAUGGAUUGGAAAUAAAUGCCUUUUCCACAAGCCAACUGACUACAUAAAUUCUGGUGGUACCUGCCCGCCAACUCCAAAGCCUGUUCAAUUAAAAGUGGCUGCUCAACUUGGCCUCCUGUAGCACCUCAACCCUCACUUGCUACCUUCGCCCUGUCCACAUGCUUAAUUUAAACUAUCUUUCGUCUUAUGGUGCCCAUUGGAAAUCAUUUGUUGUAGUAUUAUUAUUUGCAGAUUCUUCACAUUAUCUACUUGACUUUGUGUGCAUGCUUAAUUCAAAUAUCUUUCAUGUUAUUGUCAAUUGUUUUCUAGCUAUAUAAUUAUCGGUCUUUUUAGUUUAAGUAGACCAUUACAUGUACAUAUGCAGUUCAGAGUUAUGACCUUAUAUGAAAAAUGUUGUUGCAUAGUGGACUCUAUUGGACCCACCUGUUGCAUGGUUUAUAUAAAUUAGAUACACUAAUUGCUGCUGUGCCAAAAUUACAGACGCCAUUUUGCCUUGCUGCAAGGACCACUUUAUAAAAAUCAAGGAUUGUUUGCAUGUAUGAUUCUUCAGGUCCGAUGUAAUGUGCACAACUCAUGCUGGCAGAGAAUAAAGGAGGGUUGUGGUUUCUGGAUGUUGAGACCUCCAGUUUUGGGGAAUGGUAAACUUUAAUUUGGAGAUGGUGUUUUCUAAUGUAUUUGUACAGUUAGAUAUCAUAUUAGAUUUUUUUCUCUUACUUGGAACUCCUGCCACGGAAAUCAUGUUGUCUUUGAUUUGGUGUGGUAGGUAUAUAAAAUAUACUGGCCGACUUCCUCCUCUCACGAACCACACUGACGCUAACUUUUGGUUUCUACCAUGUACAAGGGUUAUUUACUAUGGACGAAUAUGGAACGUCCAUUAGGAGUACAUGCUUUAUGACGCUAUGUCUCUGCUACAGUUAUGACACUGUUGUUGUACCUUCUACUACAUCUAUUUGAUGUAUAUGCUUUUGUAGAAUACUUGUUCCUGUAUUAUAUACUAAAUUUUCUUGUAUACUACUCCCUCCGUUCCUAAAUAUUUGUCUUUCUAGACAUUUCAAUAAGUGACUACAUACGGAGCAAAAUGAAUGAAUCUACACUCUAAAAUAUGUCUACAUACAUCCGUAUGUGGUAGUCUAUUUGAAAUGUCUAGAAAGACAAAUAUUUAGGAACGGAGGGAGUACAUGGCAUGGCUAUAAUUAGUAGCUGCACUACACUCCUGAAGCUUUUUUUAACUGUUGGGAGACACAGAAGUUUUUCAACCUUCAUUAAGUUUACAUAUAAAGAACUCUUCACUUUGAAGAUUUGAAAAGUUAUGUCAUGUGAUACAACCCUCGUUUCUAAAUGUGCUAUGAAAGUGUCUGAACCUGCAUUUUAUCUCAGAAUGGCAAAAUCACACCAAUAGAUCAUCAUUCAAACUAAACUGGACUUGAUUUCAUCCAUGCGCAAAACCUCCGUCGGGAAUUUAGCUCAUGGCUAAUCAAAUAGGUGAUUAUCCUUAGACUGUGUAGAGUACUGGAAAAUAGGAAAACACUAAAUAAUUAUUUUUGGGAACAUAUCUUCAGUUUGAAGUUUUGCCAUGGUGUUCCGCCAUUCAGGCAGGGUGGAGGCGGCACACACGGGCACCUCUGCUAGGCAGUCCACAGGAUGAUGGUGUGAUGCAUACGAGGAUAGUAGCGACGCCGGUGGAACCCCUCCCGGUCGAGUCCCCCACCCUGGUGGCUGCCUACACAAGGGGAUAGCUCGAGUGACCUCUCCCAGUUGGAGAUGCCGACACAGCUUCAGGUUUGACACAAAUAUGACAUCAACUGUGGCAGACGCAGUCUCCUCAAGCCAUGCCUUCCUCGGUGCCGACAGAUCUUACCACCAUCACCACCAUUGGGGGAGGCCCCUAAUUGAGAUGCAUCUCCGCCAGAUCGAGAGGCGACUGACCACACUAGAUCUAGAGUGGUUCAACAAAGAAGUUCAGGAGAUGGACAUGUUUUUCAAUUACUGUCUAUUGUAAUUCCAUUAAUUGGAGGUACUGACACUAUAAACAACAGAUUCUGGCAUAUUGAUUCAGAUUCUGGAUCAAUAUCAGGUGCCAGCGAUGUCGCUGAUGCGCUACUUCUAUUAUGCAACAAAGCAGGUCAUCUUAAAGGUAUCAAUACACUUCAAUAUCUAAAAUAAAUCCGAUAGCAAGUUGAGAGUUUUUUGGUUGUGAAUGAUUCUUAGCGAGAGUUCUAAUUUCUGAUUGCAUGCCGCCUUCAUUUGAUGUAUUUGAGAACUAUAGAGGUUCACUGAUAAAUCUGUUUACAAUUUUACUCCCCUAUUUUUUUUGCUCAUUGCAUGUCCAUUUUUCAAAAUUUGUAAUUUGGUGGUGUUUUAUUUCUUCUGCACAGGUUGCUAUUUAGACUGUCAUUUACUUAGCAGUUUCUGCAACUUUGCUGCUUCUAUCUGACUAGCGGUGUAAGGUGGCAUGUAUGUUGGCCAUCAGAACUUUCUUUUCAAAUAUGAGUGGUCAAUGUCAUUGGAUACACCUUUCAGGACUGGGAUAUACUCGAUUUGGGAGAACAUGGGCUUCUUGCUUCUCUUUCUAUCAAUUUACCAGCACAUAGAUCCCCCACUUCCCGUCAGAGCAAAGUGGCAUACCGAAGCUAAAGAAGAAAAUUUUAUAAGGACCAUGGAUAAAGUUAACACCAUCUUUUGUACCCAAUUUUUUUUGUUAUGUGGUGCCCAUGUUAUUAUAUAUUGUGAUGUGGCACUAUGUCUAAAAACACCAAAUUGUGACCACUAAUUUUUGUUAUGUUAUGAGAUUAUAAUUUAAUAUGUAUUUAUAUCA